This is a non-coding RNA of Triticum aestivum (bread wheat), 134 nucleotides long. Lineage: Eukaryota; Viridiplantae; Streptophyta; Magnoliopsida; Poales; Poaceae. The record is from Rfam.
UUAGUACUCCCUCCGUCCGGAAAUACUUGUCAUCAAAAUGGAUAAAAUGAGACGUAUCUGACGUAUUUUAGUUCUAGAUACAUCUAUUUUUAUCCAUUUUGAUGACAAAUAUUUUCGCACGGAGGGAGUAUGAA